UCUCUCUCUCUCACUGAAAUGGGUACACUUAACGAUAUGAAUCUUGAAAAAUAAACGCAUAGGCAUGCACGUAGGCAUAUUGCGUCCAUUAAUUUUAGGCAUCUCUACUAGGGAUUUAUCUAUGCUUUUUUUAACUGUAUUAUUAUACAUUAAUCCUUGGAAAAUCUUGGAGUUGAUUUUUCUCAUUUGCUAUAUGCUCAUAAAUCAAUAUAUAGAGAGAGAGAGUUCGAUUAUAUAUAUCAAAAUUGUGGUACCAAUAUCGUAUCAUGAAGCGCACUUGUCAUCAAGUGAUUUUGAUGAAUUCUAUCAAAAAGAACUAAAAAGGGCACCUGACAUUUUUGCAUCAUUCAUUAUCUGUCAUGCGAUUGUGACAUUACGUUACUGUCCAACUCACAAUGUAACAUUGGCAUCCUCAAACAUAUGCUUAUUAUGCUUAUAUUUUAGGCAGUACCUUUUUCUUGUAAGCCAUAGCUCUCCACGAAUGGUAGGUUGUCCCGCAUUUCAUUAAUUAGAGCAGCAUUAUUUGUUUUGAUAGCAGUGAGGAAUAGAAAGUAGUUAAAGGAAUAUUAUGAGUCGAGUGUUAAAAUACUUCAUCUAUAAGCCUUUUCAUGCACGGCCGUAUUCAUUUUUUACAUCAAAUGCUGACAAGUACCUAAAAAAAAGGUUGAACCCCAACCUUAAGGGCCCCCACCGACCCUGUCCUGGACCAUCGUGGAGGAGGUAAAUAGCAGGAUAUGCCUCCCAGGAGUCAGGGUAGAGAGCAUAUGGAUAGGCCAAGGCUGUUAACCCAUAUGGUAACUCCCGCUUGCAACAAAACCAAUUCCACCUUGCGGGGAAUCGAACUCUACACACUGUCGCGCUGAACCCUAUCCGCCCUCCCCUUUGCCACUGGGAGAUAUGCCCUGGGGGCAAAUGCUGACAAGUACCUAAUUUUAUAAAUGAGUGGCUAGAGACUUAAACUCGGGAACUUGGAGCACGGGUUUUUCUGGCUCAAGUGUAUCUUGACUUUACCACGAAUCAUUUUCCUUGGAAUCCUAAUUUUAGGAUGACUGACCCUUUAAUCCAGUUCAUAGAAUAUCUUUUAUUGUAAUACAAAUAAUAUUGAGCUACCUCAUUCAUGAACUUUAAAUUCUGGGAAACGUAUGUUUCCAAUAUAUUUGGUAUUCGAAAGGGAAGAAGUAGUUUCCACACCCUUAAAAGGAUGAAUGUGGUCCAUUCUUAUAACUAGGAAGGAAAGGAUGUGAGACGGAAAUGGAGACUAAAGAUAUAUAUUUCCUUUUCACCAUCCUAAAGCAUUUAUUUUCUUUUCUUUAUCCCCUUUAAUAGCAAGGAAGCUAGAUUUCCUUAGAGAAAUCUAGGAAGUCUAUCCAAUUUUUCAUCCACCAUAAUGCUUGAGGACCAUAACUUGCUUAUUAAUCCUUGGCUAAUUCUUUAAAAUCAUAAAUAUUAUAACUGAUUUUGAACUUGGGCUUAAUUAGAUUUCCUUUUACACAUUUUCAUACCUAAUCAAAAGUUACAAUGACCCAAGCAAUC
This 1533-nucleotide long non-coding RNA is filed under the name Olea europaea (common olive). RNAcentral describes it as "long non-coding RNA (OEUR_LNC014260)". The record is from RNAcentral. Lineage: Eukaryota; Viridiplantae; Streptophyta; Magnoliopsida; Lamiales; Oleaceae.